RNAcentral lists this ribosomal RNA (492 nucleotides) under uncultured bacterium. RNAcentral's name for it is "partial 16S ribosomal RNA". It matches the Rfam family "Bacterial small subunit ribosomal RNA", at positions 29 to 507 of the family's 1533-position model. The record is from RNAcentral.
AGUGAACGCUGGCGGUAGGCCUAACACAUGCAAGUCGAACGGCAGCACAGUAAGAGCUUGCUCUUACGGGUGGCGAGUGGCGGACGGGUGAGGAAUACAUCGGAAUCUACUUUUUCGUGGGGGAUAACGUAGGGAAACUUACGCUAAUACCGCAUACGACCUACGGGUGAAAGCAGGGGAUCUUCGGACCUUGCGCGAUUGAAUGAGCCGAUGUCGGAUUAGCUAGUUGGCGGGGUAAAGGCCCACCAAGGCGACGAUCCGUGGCUGGUCUGAGAGGAUGAUCAGCCACACUGGAACUGAGACACGGUCCAGACUCCUACGGGAGGCAGCGGUGGGGAAUAUUGGACAAUGGGCGCAAGCCUGAUCCAGCCAUACCGCGUGGGUGAAGAAGGCCUUCGGGUUGUAAAGCCCUUUUGUUGGGAAAGAAAAGCAGCAGGUUAAUACCCCGCUGUUCUGACGGUACCCAAAGUAUAAGCACCGGCUAACUUCGUG